RNAcentral lists this ribosomal RNA (430 nucleotides) under uncultured rumen bacterium. Its description in RNAcentral is "bacterial SSU rRNA". It matches the Rfam family "Bacterial small subunit ribosomal RNA", at positions 354 to 776 of the family's 1533-position model. The record is from RNAcentral.
GUGGGGAAUCUUCCGCAAUGGGCGAAAGCCUGACGGAGCAACGCCGCGUGAGUGAAGAAGGUCUUCGGAUCGUAAAGCUCUGUUGUCGGGGACGAAUGUGCUUUUUGUGAAUAAUGAGAAGCAAUGACGGUACCUGACGAGGAAGCCACGGCUAACUACGUGCCAGCAGCCGCGGUAAUACGUAGGUGGCGAGCGUUGUCCGGAAUUAUUGGGCGUAAAGGGAGCGCAGGCGGGAAGGCAAGUCAGUCUUAAAAGUGCGGGGCUCAACCCCGUGAUGGGAUUGAAACUGUCUUUCUUGAGUGCAGGAGAGGAAAGCGGAAUUCCUAGUGUAGCGGUGAAAUGCGUAGAUAUUAGGAGGAACACCAGUGGCGAAGGCGGCUUUCUGGACUGUAACUGACGCUGAGGCUCGAAAGCGUGGGGAGCGAACAGG